Molecule: unclassified non-coding RNA, 331 nt
Filed under: soil metagenome
Description: partial contains 5.8S ribosomal RNA, internal transcribed spacer 2, and large subunit ribosomal RNA
Rfam family: 5.8S ribosomal RNA (bases 1-120)
Source: RNAcentral
GAUGAAGAACGCAGCGAAAUGCGAUACGUAAUGUGAAUUGCAGAUUUCAGUGAAUCAUCGAAUCUUUGAACGCACAUUGCGCCCGCCAGUAUUCUGGCGGGCAUGCCUGUCCGAGCGUCAUUUCAACCAUCAAGCGCCUCGCUUGUGUUGGGGCCCUGCGGCUGCCGCAGGCCCCUAAAUCCAGUGGCGGGCUCGUCGUCGUACCGAGUGCAGUAAACAUCCUCGCUCAGGGAACCCGACGGGUGCCGGCCGUGAAACCCCCCCUCCUCAAGGUUGACCUCGGAUCAGGUAGGAAUACCCGCUGAACUUAAGCAUAUCAAUAAGCGGAGGA